RNAcentral lists this small nuclear RNA (115 nucleotides) under Angiostrongylus costaricensis. RNAcentral's name for it is "U5 spliceosomal RNA". It matches the Rfam family "U5 spliceosomal RNA". Rfam says of the family: U5 RNA is a component of both types of known spliceosome. The record is from Rfam by way of RNAcentral. Lineage: Eukaryota; Metazoa; Nematoda; Chromadorea; Rhabditida; Metastrongylidae.
AGAAUCUGGCCUUGAUGCAUUUAACCAAGAAAAUCUUUCACCCUUUACUAAAAAUUCCCGUGCCCUCGUGCAAUUAUGAGUAUUUACCAAUUUUUCGAAGCCCUUCGAAAGGGCG